AGAGUGCACAUUCCAUAUCUGGGAAUUUUAUUUUGCUUUGUUGUAUUGGAUUGCCUUUGAGAGGACAUUAAAUUUUGCAUUAAAGUGAUUUGAAUUCUUUGACCCUCACUCCACUCUGUGAAGAGGAGACAAACCCCACAGUCCGGAAGGGCAUACUAUUGCUGGCCUACCUAAUGUACAUUGCUCUUGGGGCGAUGAUAUUUCAAGCCUUGGAGAAAGACUUUGAGGUAGAGCGGCGAGAAUUGGCAGUUGAUACGAAAUGUGAUUUUCUGAAAAAUCGUUCUAAUAUGACUCAAGAAGACGUUGAAGUCUUUGUGCAGAUGAUGACUUCUCUCAUCUUGUCAGGAAUACCUCCCCUAGGAAAUAAGACUAACGCUCUCCUUUGGACUUUUGGAAGCUCCUUUACAACUUCUCUAACUAUCUUAUCCACAAUAGGUUAUGGGACAGUUUUUCCCAGAACUCCUGGUGGGCAGAUGUUUUGUGUUGUCUUUGCUGCGAUUGGAAUCCCUCUAACUAUCGUGUUCUUUAAAAACAUCGGUAAAUUAGUUUCUCUGCCAUUUGAAAAACUUGGAAACUGCCUUAAACAUAAGGGAAUAAGUGAGAAAAAUAGUUCUCUUUCGAAGAAUCUGUUUUUCAUUAUGACUGGAGCACUUUUGUUUCUGGCAUUACCACCAUUUGUUUUCAUGUCAUUAGAGAACUGGACUUAUAUUGAAGGAGUUUAUUAUUCAUUCACCACCAUAAGUGCUAUUGGUUUUGGAGACUAUACAAUAGUUUCAAACCCAAUGAAAGAGAGUCAGAACAUCGCUUACUCAAUCUUAUUAUUAAUUUGGAAUCUCCAUGGUCUUGCCUGGAUUGCUCUUGUAUUUCAUUUGAUAACCAACGUUUUUCAAGAAAUGGAAUCAAAGCUAAAUAAGAACAUAUCUGAAAUAGAAGUUGAAGCAGAAAGCAUGAAGUCAGGCGCUGGAGAUCCACACGGUCGGUAGGUUUCCUCGAUCCAGACAGCAGAGGGUUUCCACAGAGCCCUUUCAAAGGUGUCAGAACAGGAAGGAAAAACAGAAAAACACCCAGAUGUCUCUCCAUAAACUUCUUAUGAAUAUGAUGACAUCAGAGAAGAACAUCUAUGCUGGCAUCCAUUGUCGAUGACAAUUGAAAAACCUAGUGUGUCAUCUCCAGUCGCUCAUGCCAGAUGGUCAAUGUUCCUUAGCCCCACGUUUAUAGCCUGCUAGUGGCUAUAUAACUGCUUAAAGUUUGUGCUUAUUUAACAUGGUCUUUGGGACAUGAGUCCACCGUCUUCCAAUUUGCUGGCUAAUAGAAUAAAUCCCUUUCUCAACCACUGAUGCAUUUUGCAAUUGAUCGGCUUCAGGAUUGCAGUGAGCAGAACGAGCUCCUGCUUGGUUACAUUUCCAGGGGUAAAACAGGAAGAACCAAGAUUAGCCCUUUGGACAGGAAAUGCUUCCCAAAGACUUCAGGGUUUAUCUGCAGAAGAGCCACCCCAGGGAGGAAAGGGAGCCAUUUAAACCACUACUGAGACAGGGCCCUCGACAGUUUGAUCAGAACAUGGGCAGAAAAGAUGUUAUUUUGUACUUUCAAGUGGCAAAAAGACAUACA
Non-coding RNA from Equus caballus (horse), 1608 nucleotides. The record is from RefSeq and is a predicted model, not a curated record. NCBI's taxonomy places the organism in Eukaryota, Metazoa, Chordata, Mammalia, Perissodactyla, Equidae.